UCAUAUGGUCACAUACUUUACCUUGGAUGCACACAUCUUGUCUGAUUUUCAGAGCUAAGCAGGAUCAAACCUGAUUUGUUCCUGAAUUGGAGACCACCAGGGAAUACUUGGGAUCUUGUAGU
Molecule: ribosomal RNA, 122 nt
Filed under: Pogona vitticeps (central bearded dragon)
Lineage: Eukaryota; Metazoa; Chordata; Lepidosauria; Squamata; Agamidae
Source: RNAcentral